RNAcentral lists this ribosomal RNA (136 nucleotides) under Escherichia coli. Its description in RNAcentral is "partial 23S ribosomal RNA". The stretch from base 1 to 119 matches the Rfam family "Bacterial large subunit ribosomal RNA", at positions 2812 to 2925 of the family's 2925-position model. Lineage: Bacteria; Pseudomonadati; Pseudomonadota; Gammaproteobacteria; Enterobacterales; Enterobacteriaceae. The record is from RNAcentral.
UCCCUGACCCUUUAAGGGUCCUGAAGGAACGUUGAAGACGACGACGUUGAUAGGCCGGGUGUGUAAGCGCAGCGAUGCGUUGAGCUAACCGGUACUAAUGAACCGUGAGGCUUAACCUUACAACGCCGAAGCUGUU